UGUUCCAUGGUGUAAUGGUAGCACUGCAGUUUUUGGUACUGCCUGCCCAGGUUCGAGUCCUGGUGGAACAA
RNAcentral lists this transfer RNA (71 nucleotides) under Prevotellaceae bacterium. RNAcentral describes it as "tRNA-Gln". It matches the Rfam family "tRNA". Rfam says of the family: Transfer RNA (tRNA) molecules are approximately 80 nucleotides in length. Their secondary structure includes four short double-helical elements and three loops (D, anti-codon, and T loops). Lineage: Bacteria; Pseudomonadati; Bacteroidota; Bacteroidia; Bacteroidales; Prevotellaceae. The record is from RNAcentral.